AGACAAUAAGGCAAAGUUGCCAAAGCUAAAAGGCCUUUUUAAUCACCCUGAAGUUAGUCAAAAAGCCUGCCCUUUACAACAAGAGUUAUCCAACUGGAAGCAGUUACCAAUGCCCAUAUAUGGGCAAGUAUGGCAACUUCCUGUAGCCUUGGCUGCAAAUGGUGCUCAAAGAAGAUAACAAGGAUCCCACAGAUGAAAAAUAUGAAAGCUUCAUUUCUAAUAUAA
Molecule: long non-coding RNA, 225 nt
Filed under: Monodelphis domestica (gray short-tailed opossum)
Lineage: Eukaryota; Metazoa; Chordata; Mammalia; Didelphimorphia; Didelphidae
Description: lncRNA (ENSMODG00000043609.1)
Source: RNAcentral